UGGGGAAUAUUGCACAAUGGGCGGAAGCCUGAUGCAGCAACGCCGCGUGCGGGAUGACGGCCUUCGGGUUGUAAACCGCUUUCGCCUGUGACGAAGCGUGAGUGACGGUAAUAGGUAAAGAAGCACCGGCUAACUACGUGCCAGCAGCCGCGGUGAUACGUAGGGUGCGAGCGUUGUCCGGAUUUAUUGGGCGUAAAGGGCUCGUAGGUGGUUGAUCGCGUCGGAAGUGUAAUCUUGGGGCUUAACCCUGAGCGUGCUUUCGAUACGGGUUGACUUGAGGAAGGUAGGGGAGAAUGGAAUUCCUGGUGGAGCGGUGGAAUGCGCAGAUAUCAGGAGGAACACCAGUGGCGAAGGCGGUUCUCUGGGCCUUUCCUGACGCUGAGGAGCGAAAGCGUGGGGAGCGAACAGGCUUAGAUACCCUGGUAGUCCACGCUGUAAACGGUGGGUACUAGGUGUGGGGUCCAUUCCACGGGUUCCGUGCCGUAGCUAACGCUUUAAGUACCCCGCCUGGGGAGUACGGCCGCAAGGCUA
This 531-nucleotide ribosomal RNA is filed under the name uncultured bacterium. RNAcentral's name for it is "bacterial SSU rRNA". It matches the Rfam family "Bacterial small subunit ribosomal RNA", at positions 355 to 896 of the family's 1533-position model. The record is from RNAcentral.